AGGAGGAACAGCCCCAGUGGCGGGGCAGCUCUGGAAACCUGGAUUCAGCUCCGGCAGGAACUCCGGAGCUCUCGGUCUGCAGGGCCUGGAGGCUCCGGGCGGGG
This 104-nucleotide microRNA precursor is filed under the name Canis lupus dingo (dingo). RNAcentral describes it as "mir-8834 microRNA precursor family". It matches the Rfam family "mir-8834 microRNA precursor family". Lineage: Eukaryota; Metazoa; Chordata; Mammalia; Carnivora; Canidae. The record is from Rfam by way of RNAcentral.